GGGUUGUGAGGUUAAGCGACUAAGCGUACACGGUGGAUGCCCUGGCAGUCAGAGGCGAUGAAGGACGUGCUAAUCUGCGAAAAGCGUCGGUAAGGUGAUAUGAACCGUUAUAACCGGCGAUGUCCGAAUGGGGAAACCCAGUGCAAUUCGUUGCACUAUCGUUAACUGAAUACAUAGGUUAACGAGGCGAACCGGGGGAACUGAAACAUCUAAGUACCCCGAGGAAAAGAAAUCAACCGAGAUUCCCCCAGUAGCGGCGAGCGAACGGGGAGCAGCCCAGAGUCUGAAUCAGCUUGUGUGUUAGUGGAACGGUCUGGAAAGUCCGACGGUACAGGGUGAUAGUCCCGUACACCAAAAUGCACAGGUUGUGAACUCGAAGAGUAGGGCGGGACACGUGGUAUCCUGUCUGAAUAUGGGGGGACCAUCCUCCAAGGCUAAAUACUCCUGACUGACCGAUAGUGAACCAGUACCGUGAGGGAAAGGCGAAAAGAACCCCGGCGAGGGGAGUGAAAAAGAACCUGAAACCGUGUACGUACAAGCAGUGGGAGCACCUUCGGGUGUGACUGCGUACCUUUUGUAUAAUGGGUCAGCGACUUAUAUUCUGUAGCAAGGUUAACCGUAUAGGGGAGCCGCAGGGAAACCGAGUCUUAACUGGGCGUUAAGUUGCAGGGUAUAGACCCGAAACCCGGUGAUCUAGCCAUGGGCAGGUUGAAGGUUGGGUAACACUAACUGGAGGACCGAACCGACUAAUGUUGAAAAAUUAGCGGAUGACUUGUGGCUGGGGGUGAAAGGCCAAUCAAACCGGGAGAUAGCUGGUUCUCCCCGAAAGCUAUUUAGGUAGCGCCUCGUGAAUUCAUCUUCGGGGGUAGAGCACUGUUUCGGCUAGGGGGUCAUCCCGACUUACCAACCCGAUGCAAACUACGAAUACCGAAGAAUGUUAUCACGGGAGACACACGGCGGGUGCUAACGUCCGUCGUGAAGAGGGAAACAACCCAGACCGCCAGCUAAGGUCCCAAAGUCAUGGUUAAGUGGGAAACGAUGUGGGAAGGCACAGACAGCCAGGAUGUUGGCUUAGAAGCAGCCAUCAUUUAAAGAAAGCGUAAUAGCUCACUGGUCGAGUCGGCCUGCGCGGAAGAUGUAACGGGGCUAAACCAUGCACCGAAGCUGCGGCAGCGACACUAUGUGUUGUUGGGUAGGGGAGCGUUCUGUAAGCCUGCGAAGGUGUGCUGUGAGGCAUGCUGGAGGUAUCAGAAGUGCGAAUGCUGACAUAAGUAACGAUAAAGCGGGUGAAAAGCCCGCUCGCCGGAAGACCAAGGGUUCCUGUCCAACGUUAAUCGGGGCAGGGUGAGUCGACCCCUAAGGCGAGGCCGAAAGGCGUAGUCGAUGGGAAACAGGUUAAUAUUCCUGUACUUGGUGUUACUGCGAAGGGGGGACGGAGAAGGCUAUGUUAGCCGGGCGACGGUUGUCCCGGUUUAAGCAUGUAGGCUGGUUGUCCAGGCAAAUCCGGAUAAUCAAGGCUGAGGUGUGAUGACGAGGCACUACGGUGCUGAAGUAACAAAUGCCCUGCUUCCAGGAAAAGCCUCUAAGCAUCAGGUAACAUUAAAUCGUACCCCAAACCGACACAGGUGGUCAGGUAGAGAAUACCAAGGCGCUUGAGAGAACUCGGGUGAAGGAACUAGGCAAAAUGGUGCCGUAACUUCGGGAGAAGGCACGCUGGUGUGUAGGUGAAGUCCCUGCGGAUGGAGCUGAGACCAGUCGAAGAUACCAGCUGGCUGCAACUGUUUAUUAAAAACACAGCACUGUGCAAACACGAAAGUGGACGUAUACGGUGUGACGCCUGCCCGGUGCCGGAAGGUUAAUUGAUGGGGUUAUCCGUAAGGAGAAGCUCUUGAUCGAAGCCCCGGUAAACGGCGGCCGUAACUAUAACGGUCCUAAGGUAGCGAAAUUCCUUGUCGGGUAAGUUCCGACCUGCACGAAUGGCGUAAUGAUGGCCAGGCUGUCUCCACCCGAGACUCAGUGAAAUUGAACUCGCUGUGAAGAUGCAGUGUACCCGCGGCAAGACGGAAAGACCCCGUGAACCUUUACUAUAGCUUGACACUGAACAUUGAGCCUUGAUGUGUAGGAUAGGUGGGAGGCUUUGAAGCGUGGACGCCAGUCUGCGUGGAGCCAACCUUGAAAUACCACCCUUUAAUGUUUGAUGUUCUAACGUUGGCCCCUGACCGGGGUUGCGGACAGUGUCUGGUGGGUAGUUUGACUGGGGCGGUCUCCUCCCAAAGCGUAACGGAGGAGCACGAAGGUUAGCUAAUCCUGGUCGGACAUCAGGAGGUUAGUGCAAUGGCAUAAGCUAGCUUGACUGCGAGCGUGACGGCGCGAGCAGGUGCGAAAGCAGGUCAUAGUGAUCCGGUGGUUCUGAAUGGAAGGGCCAUCGCUCAACGGAUAAAAGGUACUCCGGGGAUAACAGGCUGAUACCGCCCAAGAGUUCAUAUCGACGGCGGUGUUUGGCACCUCGAUGUCGGCUCAUCACAUCCUGGGGCUGAAGUAGGUCCCAAGGGUAUGGCUGUUCGCCAUUUAAAGUGGUACGCGAGCUGGGUUUAGAACGUCGUGAGACAGUUCGGUCCCUAUCUGCCGUGGGCGCUGGAGAAUUGAGGGGGGCUGCUCCUAGUACGAGAGGACCGGAGUGGACGCAUCACUGGUGUUCGGGUUGUCAUGCCAAUGGCACUGCCCGGUAGCUAAAUGCGGAAGAGAUAAGUGCUGAAAGCAUCUAAGCACGAAACUUGCCCCGAGAUGAGUUCUCCCUGAGACUUUAAGUCUCCUGAAGGAACGUUGAAGACGACGACGUUGAUAGGCCGGGUGUGUAAGCGCAGCGAUGCGUUGAGCUAACCGGUACUAAUGAACCGUGAGGCUUAACCUUACAACGCCGAAG
RNAcentral lists this ribosomal RNA (2923 nucleotides) under Klebsiella pneumoniae. Its description in RNAcentral is "bacterial LSU rRNA". It matches the Rfam family "Bacterial large subunit ribosomal RNA". The record is from RNAcentral. Lineage: Bacteria; Pseudomonadati; Pseudomonadota; Gammaproteobacteria; Enterobacterales; Enterobacteriaceae.